UGGCCAUAACAUACUGAAACACCAAUUCUUGUAUGAUCACCAAAGUUAAGCAACAGUGAGCCAGGUCAGUACCUACAUAGGUGACCUUUUGGGAAUACCAGGUGCU
Non-coding RNA from Acanthosepion pharaonis, 106 nucleotides. NCBI's taxonomy places the organism in Eukaryota, Metazoa, Mollusca, Cephalopoda, Sepiida, Sepiidae. The record is from the annotation of a GenBank genome assembly.